GCCUGGGUGGCUCAGUCGGUUGAGCGUCUGACUUCGGCUCAGGUCACAAACUCGCCGUUCGUGAGUUCGAGCCCCGCGUCGGGCU
Molecule: transfer RNA, 85 nt
Filed under: Felis catus (domestic cat)
Lineage: Eukaryota; Metazoa; Chordata; Mammalia; Carnivora; Felidae
Rfam family: tRNA
About the family: Transfer RNA (tRNA) molecules are approximately 80 nucleotides in length.
Source: Rfam by way of RNAcentral